AUGAAUAUUGCCCUUCUGACUCGGUGGCUCUGGAGGAUUAGCAACGGUGAUGGUGGCCUGUGGCUAUGCAUCAUUCGGCAGAAAAACCUCCGAGGCCAGCCUCUCGCCUUCUCUCAGCGAUCUGGGGGCUCCCAGUUCUGGCAAUCCAUCAUUCAGCUCCUCCGUGUCCUUCGAAUCGGGACCUCGAUCGUGAUUGGUUCCGGUACCGCCAUGCUGUUCUGGUUUGAUCGCUGGACUGGUGAUACGCCCCUGGCGGUCUGCUUUCCAGGCCUGUUCUCCAUCGCGGUUGCCCCUCAGAUCUCCAUGGCGACCGCCCUUAUUGACUUAGGGUGGCUUGUGUUCCGGAGGCCCUUUGGUCCUACUAAGAAUGUGGACUGGCAGGAGUUGCUUGACUGUAUUGCUCUCCAUGAGCCGGACCUCACGUCUGACGAUGACCGCGCCAGGUGGCGCCUCGAGCCGUCCGGUCAAUUCUCCACCAAGUCUCUCUAUCUGGCCAUCGCCCCCUCGCUCGGCCAUGAGGCUCUCUCCUCCAUUUGGGAGAUUCGCCUCCCCUUGAAAAUUAGGAUCUUCGUGUGGGAGUGGAUUCGUGGCCGCCUCCCUUCUAGCGUUGAGGUUCUGAAGCGCAAUGGCCCUGGUGAUGGGCGUUGCCCGCUCUGUGGGCCUGAAGAAGAUUUGAACCAUAUCUUCUUCACCUGCGUGUCUGCGCAGUUCCUAUGGAGCUGUUUACGCGAGAUUGAGGGUGGAAGCUGGGCUCAUACCAACUUCCCCGCUCUCUUUGCCGAACUCCAGGCGACCCCCACCCCCCAGUUGCGCCACAUUAGGUGGCUGACCAUUGGGGUCCUUGCCUGGACGAUGUGGACUGUUAGGAAUAAACUUGUGAUUUAG
Molecule: ribosomal RNA, 885 nt
Filed under: Triticum aestivum (bread wheat)
Lineage: Eukaryota; Viridiplantae; Streptophyta; Magnoliopsida; Poales; Poaceae
Description: partial small subunit ribosomal RNA
Source: RNAcentral